Gigantopelta aegis is the source of this 343-nucleotide long non-coding RNA. RefSeq lists it as uncharacterized. NCBI's taxonomy places the organism in Eukaryota, Metazoa, Mollusca, Gastropoda, Neomphalida, Peltospiridae. The transcript has 3 exons. The record is from RefSeq and is a predicted model, not a curated record.
UAUUGGUACUUUGUCAUACCGAGCGUUAUUGUCUUAAACAAAACAAUGUUAUUAUUGAUAUAUAUAUCCAGACCUCGUCGUUUAAGGGACCUUUUACUCUGGCUCCCAUCACUCCUCUGAGACUAGUUCAAGACCUCCGUGAUGUAUCGGACGUACUGCGCAAGCGCACCAGCGGCGACUGUGGUCCUGUGACACAAACAACCGUCCGGCAGUUUCUUCUCUUCUCGUUUCACACGAGAUUUUGUCGAGGCGUUACGUUUCUUGAGAGAUUUGUUAUCGAUUAUUUCUUCGCUUUGUUCAAGUUCAACAUCAUCUAAAGAAAAAUAAAACAAUACCAAUUACA